Marasmius tenuissimus is the source of this 93-nucleotide non-coding RNA. The record is from the annotation of a GenBank genome assembly. NCBI's taxonomy places the organism in Eukaryota, Fungi, Basidiomycota, Agaricomycetes, Agaricales, Marasmiaceae.
UCCGUUAUGGUGUAGUGGCUAACAUUAUCGCCUCUCAUGAUUGAAUGAUCUGGUCGAGCGCGAUAGCCCAGGGUUCGAUUCCCUGUAACGGAA